GCUGGCGUGUUGGAGAGGGGAGGAGGGGCGUGCUGGGGAGAGCGGAGGAGGAGGGGCGUGCAGAGAGCGGAGGAGGAGCUAGAGCGAGCGGGGUAGGAGGAGGAGGGCACGGCAAGCGGAGGGGCAACAAGAGCGUCGGAACGCGGCGGCAAUCAGCGUCCUCGGUGGGGCGGCGCGAGCCUCGGCGGAGGGUAUCGGCGGCAGCCAGGCGCGGGCCUCGGCGGAGGGCGUCGGCGGUGGCCAGCGGCGCCGGCAGCGGGGCCCUCGGAGGGGCGGCCGGAAAACGGCGGACGGCGCCGGCGCGGGAAGCAGCGGCCACCGGCGCGUGUAAGACGACUGAGGUUCUGCUCCUCGGCCACGUAGCUGCGGUUACGCCCUAGACAAGCGGGAGGAGCGAGCGGCAACUGCGGCGGUAUCCGCCUCCACGGCGACGAGGUGCCCUAGGCCGUUCCAGCAGAAGGUAGUGCUGUCGGGUAGUGCCCACGUCCACUGACCCCGCACCAUCAGCAGGGCUAGUAGAGAUGACAGGGGUACGGUUCGCCACCAGGAAGGGCCACCGGGAACGAGGAAGCGGUCGCGCGGAGGCGCGGCCCGGCGGCGGAGACGAGGAGGCGGUCUCGGGACGGCGCGGGCCAGCGUCGGAGCGCGCGGAGGCACGGCCGGGAGGUGCGGAGAGGCGCGUGCGGCGUCUGCCGGGAGGAGUGGAGGGUGCUGUGCGGGCUCCUCGAGUUGACUGCUGCUGUGGGUAGAGGAAAGUCCACAGCCAACCGGACGUCCAGCACACCAGCCUCCACGAACACACCCGCCUCCACGAGCACGCCCUACUUUGAAACCUGCUAGAUACAAGUACAGUAAUGACAAAUAUUUAUAGAAGACAACAAGAUCUACUAUCAGAACUGAAAAGACCACAAGUACCGCCAUUGAUUCCAUAUAGAUACAACAUCAGCUGUUCCUCCGGAUGGAUACUACGGGCACGUCAACUUUUACAAACGUUCCGUCGGAUACUACAGACCAACCUCCGGAUGAAUACUACAGUCUAACAACAUGUGCCUUUAAAACGCCCUAUCAAACGUUUAACCCUCAAAUACAAAAAGAAUCAAUCGAAAAUUCUAACAACAUCAAUUUUGUACUCUACCUUCGGAGUAUAACUUAUGAAUCGAUACAAUGUUUAAAUAUCAUCACCGAUAGAAGAUGUAGUCGGACACAAGUUUAUCAGAUAAAACAUACAAACAAGUGUCUUCAACUAAUAGGAUCGUAUGUUGAUGGGAGGCCAGCACUUCGGAAUCUAACUUAUGUUUCGAUACAACGGUUACUAGAGUAUUGGAACGGACAGUGUAACGUGGAUACUAUACUCCUCAUGUUGUUUAAAAUGUUUAUCUUGUAUAUAUUAAACACCAUCGUCUUAAUGUAAAUCAUGACUUAUAAACUAAUUAUUAGGAAUGAGGCAUACCUCGUUUCAGAUGUUGGCAAUAUAGAUUUCAUCAAAUUGAAACUAUGAUCCGUCACCCAUACGAUUCGAAACGGUGAAAGACUUCACACAACUUUAUCCUCAAGGUCAAGAACUAAAAAGUCCUUUGACUUCUUCUCGCAAACUCCUUUCUCCUCUUCACCCUCCGUGUCCUUCUAUUCUUCCCCUCUUCCCUCCCCCCUUUGCUCUUCAACGAGUUCUUCUUAUGAUCUUUGCGGAAUGGUCAUCCGAAAGCAACGUUACAAAAGUAACUAAUAACCUACUCAGAAGGAGAACUAACAAAAAAAUCCAUUCAAGUACUAGUGUAACUUUUAUACACUACCUAUGUACCUCAAAACACCUACUGGACUAAAUAACCCGGAAAAACUCUAAAAACAAACCUUAAUUAUAAGUCGUGUUGGUAACGG
Molecule: ribosomal RNA, 1875 nt
Filed under: Triticum aestivum (bread wheat)
Lineage: Eukaryota; Viridiplantae; Streptophyta; Magnoliopsida; Poales; Poaceae
Description: partial small subunit ribosomal RNA
Source: RNAcentral